AUUGAACGCUGGCGGCAGGCCUAACACAUGCAAGUCGAACGGUAACAGGAAACAGCUUGCUGUUUCGCUGACGAGUGGCGGACGGGUGAGUAAUGUCUGGGAAACUGCCUGAUGGAGGGGGAUAACUACUGGAAACGGUAGCUAAUACCGCAUAACGCCGCAAGACCAAAGAGGGGGACCUUCGGGCCUCUUGCCAUCGGAUGUGCCCAGAUGGGAUUAGCUAGUAGGUGGGGUAACGGCUCACCUAGGCGACGAUCCCUAGCUGGUCUGAGAGGAUGACCAGCCACACUGGAACUGAGACACGGUCCAGACUCCUACGGGAGGCAGCAGUGGGGAAUAUUGCACAAUGGGCGCAAGCCUGAUGCAGCCAUGCCGCGUGUAUGAAGAAGGCCUUCGGGUUGUAAAGUACUUUCAGCGGGGAUGAAGGGAGUAAAGUUAAUACCUUUGCUCAUUGACGUUACCCGCAGAAGAAGCACCGGCUAACUCCGUG
Molecule: ribosomal RNA, 490 nt
Filed under: uncultured bacterium
Lineage: Bacteria
Description: partial 16S ribosomal RNA
Rfam family: Bacterial small subunit ribosomal RNA
Source: RNAcentral